This 373-nucleotide long non-coding RNA is filed under the name Zalophus californianus (California sea lion). Its description in RNAcentral is "lncRNA (ENSZCAG00015010591.1)". The record is from RNAcentral. Lineage: Eukaryota; Metazoa; Chordata; Mammalia; Carnivora; Otariidae.
CGCUGCGCUGGGAGUGAGAGGGGGUCAGGAUUUCCCCGCUGCCGUUUGUGACCCCGGGGGAUUUCUCAGGGUUCCGAAAACAACACAGCCCUGGCCGGGAGGGAUACGGGCCGGAGGAUGCCAGAUGUUUUGAAUUCUUUGAAAUCUCUAAGCAUCUAGAAAAAAUAAUCAUGCAGUCACCCAUGUCUUUCCCACGGCUCUGGGACAUGCUUUGUGUGAAGACCCUGCUGCUGACCCUGCACAUCGGAGCUUUCCCUCAGGGGGCGCCACUCUUUCCCCGACGAACACCACAAGCGUAAUUGUGCCUGUGGAAAAUGCUCGAGGGACAGCAAAUGAACGAAGCAUUCGAAGAUGUGUUGAACCACGUUUGAAC